CUCAACUAAAUCGUCCUGGAUUCUUGUCACUUUUUUCGUUUGUUUUUACUUGUUGUAGAUUUGACUUUCCCUGCUGUUAAUUCUGUCUUCCUCCUGCCUCUCCAGCCUGAUAAGUAGUGAACUGGGAGUCUGUCUGUUGAAUUUUUUUUCUGUGGUUGGGAUGGGAAUGGAAUGCUUGGUAAAGAGUGUGUUUCCUCCUCAUAUCUUCUUCAGGUUUCCAGAUUCUUCUACAGUUUGUUUCCUGCUGUUCCAGCAAAGGAGGAGUAAUGGCAGAAUUCCACCAAGGUGAUGCUCUCCACCUUGCCGGCAAGGCUGAGGCCUGUUAAGCUGCACAGAGCCUGCUGAGACUUCUCCUGUGCAGUCGUUGGUCAGCAGUAAUGUGACGUGCUGUUGGUCCAAUACCUGAAUAGGCUAAGUCUGGUUUGCUCCUACGAAAUACAAUGUUAAAUUCAAAUGUGAUUGGAGGAAUUCUAAUAUAUUCUAAUAUAUUUCCAUUUUCUCUUGAAAAACUACUGGAUAAUCUUGAGCUUGGAAACAAAGCCCCAGAACUGUUUUUUGGCUCUGAAUCCUUUCCUAUCCUGUGGGUGUAGGUGGUGGCAGAACACCUGUAGAGGCUGAAAAAACAGUCCGUUCCCAGCUUUCCUGGUAGCUCACGUGUGGGCUAUCAGGAGUCCAGCCUGUCAGGCUGAAGUGGAGCUGGUGAGUGCAGAGACGCUGGCCCUGGGUAUCAGGGGGAGGCUGUGCUGGCCUGCCAGGACUUGGUGUGAAUGUGUGUCUGCACUCAGUUGUGGUCCUGCCAUUCCCCCUUGUGACUUUCCUGCAGUGUUCUGCAUCCUUUUUGGAAAUUUUGUGAGCUACUCAGAGUCUUUUCAGUACAUUAUUUUUCUGCUUAGAGCAUUCAGAACCUGUCUGUACAAUCGAGUUGUUUCCUGGGCUGGGGUUGUGGCUCAGUAGUAGAGCACUUGCCUGGCAUGUGUGAGGCACUGGGUUCAAUUCUCAGCACCACAUAUAAAUAAGUAAAGGUCCACUGUAAACUAAUACAUACAUAUAUAUUUAAAAACAGACAGUCGGGCCUGGAGAUGUGGCUCAAGCGGUAGCGUGCUCGCCUGGCAUGCGUGCAGCCUGGGUUCAAUCCUCAGCACCAGAUACAAAUAAAGAUGUUGUGUCCACCGAAAACUAAUAAUAAAUAAUAAAAUUC
This 1198-nucleotide long non-coding RNA is filed under the name Marmota monax (woodchuck). The stretch from base 937 to 1005 matches the Rfam family "tRNA". Lineage: Eukaryota; Metazoa; Chordata; Mammalia; Rodentia; Sciuridae. The record is from RNAcentral.